Molecule: long non-coding RNA, 1044 nt
Organism: Astatotilapia calliptera (eastern happy)
Lineage: Eukaryota; Metazoa; Chordata; Actinopteri; Cichliformes; Cichlidae
Source: Ensembl
GUCAAACUGGGUUGAUUUUCAGCAGAUCACACAGGAAUAAGAAACAAACAAUCAAACAGUUACAGAGCCAAAAAUAACCAUGAUCGUGGUGGGCAUGCACCGUCAUAAAAGCACCACUGAAACGGCCCAUUAUCAGGAAGAGGACGGCGACUGGAGAAAGAGGAACUGCAAGACUGCCGGCGUUUGGAACGAAGCAGGAGUCUCUAAUUGCCGCGGCAAGUGGUUGUCGGUAUCGCGCGUAGCUGAGCGGCGGCGGCGGCGGCGGCGACGACGGCGGCGGCGGCGACAACAACAACGACGACGGCGGUGGCGACGGCUUGUUAAGGAUCUCCGGCGGUAAUACACAGGAGCUGUGAGCGCACCAUUUCCGCACCCAGCGUCCGUUGGCAUCGAGCUACAGAGCUGCGCGAAGCGUUCGUUCGUCACGAGCAUUUAACUGAUUUCAGUUAAAUACAAAGCUCUUGUGUGAGCGGCUUUAGACCGACCCGAGCAGCUGAUCGCACCGGGCGUCACAUCAUAACGUGCUACGAAACUCAUCGUCAGUGUGAGCGCGCGGCUCUGACCACAGCUGGGUUGCUGUAAGGCCAUCGCUCCGGGAAGCACCAGCGGAGACCUGCGUACCGCGACCAAUAACCAAAUACCUGAUAUCAUCAUCACUUGGCUCGGUGCUCUGAGAGAAACAUGCCAAACUCAACUUUACAGCUGCGUCGAUUCGGUGAAAGCAGUAGCCGUGCGCUCUUUCCACUUUCACGGGUUUUCACCUCAUUCUUCGGCCUGAGCCGCAGAGUUGUCUUUACCUGUGGACACAUUCUCGGCUCGGUAAUGCGCGGUAUUACGCUCCAUUCUCUCACUCUGACCAUUCAGCACGGUAAUCAUGUGAUAACCGUCGACAUCCAAAGAGACGCAAACACGGGAAAUCACACCUUUGCUCUCAGGGCCUGACAGGUGAACGCAAAUGACCCAAAUAUGCUUCAGCGGGAAAUCUGCAUCGUAACCAAACGCUGUAUAACCGGACGUGCACCUCGCCAGCAAUCAAACUUGUAG